AUUGAACGCUGGCGGCAGGCCUAACACAUGCAAGUCGAGCGGAUGAAGGGAGCUUGCUCCUGGAUUCAGCGGCGGACGGGUGAGUAAUGCCUAGGAAUCUGCCUGGUAGUGGGGGAUAACGUCCGGAAACGGGCGCUAAUACCGCAUACGUCCUGAGGGAGAAAGUGGGGGAUCUUCGGACCUCACGCUAUCAGAUGAGCCUAGGUCGGAUUAGCUAGUUGGUGGGGUAAAGGCCUACCAAGGCGACGAUCCGUAACUGGUCUGCAGGGAUGAUCAGUCAACUGGGACCGGAAGACGGGUCCCAACCCCAAGGGGGGGCAGGAGGGGGAAAAUUUGGACAAGGGGCAAAAGCCUAUACCGGCCAAGCCGGGGGUGUGAAGAAGGUCUUCGGUUUGUAAAGCCUUUUAAGUUGGGAGGAAGGGAAGUAAUUUAAUACCUUGCUUUUUUGACUUUACCAACAGAAUAAGCACCGGCAAACUUCGG
This 483-nucleotide ribosomal RNA is filed under the name uncultured bacterium. RNAcentral's name for it is "partial 16S ribosomal RNA". It matches the Rfam family "Bacterial small subunit ribosomal RNA", at positions 30 to 506 of the family's 1533-position model. The record is from RNAcentral.